UGCUACCAUUAAACUUAAUUAUAAGCUGCUCUAGUCUUACAUUAAGUGUGAUGGUAAGGGAUUAAUUGUAGAGCACUUCCUAGUUAAUCUAAUAUGUAAGAAAAAAUAAGAAAGUUAUUAACUUUUAUAACUAAUUUACUCAAUUGAAUAAAUUUGCAUCUUUAGUUAAUAAUUGAUACAUGUUACAUGGUGGAUACACUCUCUUUACUGAAUUUGUUACAAUCUGAUUGUGUUGAGUAUUCAUAAGUAUCAUUAGCCUUAGUUUAUAUUCUA
Molecule: unclassified non-coding RNA, 273 nt
Filed under: Hevea brasiliensis (rubber tree)
Lineage: Eukaryota; Viridiplantae; Streptophyta; Magnoliopsida; Malpighiales; Euphorbiaceae
Source: RNAcentral